Long non-coding RNA from Oryza sativa Japonica Group (Japanese rice), 2009 nucleotides. RefSeq lists it as uncharacterized. The record is from RefSeq and is a predicted model, not a curated record. Lineage: Eukaryota; Viridiplantae; Streptophyta; Magnoliopsida; Poales; Poaceae.
CUUUAGAGUUAGUCCCAUAUAAUCCCUUCUUUCAUAAAGUUAAGACCCAAAGCUGAGAUUUGGUGAAGCCACGUCAUCAUUUAAUUAUCGACCGUUGGAUUACAUCUCAGUGGUCCUCAUUGCGUUUUGGAGCAUGCCCUCGGUCCCUUCGCUCCCCACCGCAUCGCCUCCUGUACCGUAUCGCCUCCCCCAGCAACAGCGACUACGGCGGUGACAGACUCUGUCGAUGGUGACAGCGACGGUGGCGGCGGUCGGGGACGAGCGCGGCGGAAUUGGACGCGGACGAGGGCGGCUGCGGCGGACGCGGAAGAGGGAGGCGGCAGCGGUCGAGGGCGGCAGUGGACGAGGACGAGGCGGCUGUACUCGACGGUGGCGGCGGCGGACACGGAUGAGGGCGGUGGCAGCGGUCGAGGGCGGCGGUAGUGACGACGACGGCGGCCACGGACAAGGGCAGCAGCACCUUUGCUUCUGUUGCUCGUGCUGCUAUCAUCGGUUCCUCUCUCUUGGAAGCUCGCCCACUCUACUGCUGCAGACACACAGAAUUGGGGGCAGACCUCUGUUGUUCAUCUUAGCUAUUCAAGGAUGGUGUGCUGCAGACGAAGAUUAGGGACAAAGACGAUCCCCGCCUGUCCAAGAUGCGGAAAGAGGUGGUGGCUGGGGGAAAGGAUGCUAUGGAGGUGGACAAUGACUUCUUCCUGGUGCCUGUCAAGAUCUCUGAUCACCAGGGAAACAUGACCGGCCAGCAUGGUGAACGUUUCAGUUGUUUGUUCCCUCUUAAUACUGUAAAACUGUAUGAAACAAAAAAUUUCCCUAUGUUCCUAGAAUGGUACGAUAUGGGUAUUUUUAUUUUCCUUGUCUCCACACACACUAGUAGGAAAAUAUUAAACGGUAGGGAACAUGGGGAUUUUUAGUAGUGAGAUAAAUAUUAUUAAGAAUGCGAAGCCGUGUUUUAUUGUAGAUAAGAUUUCGGUGUUCAAUCAACGAAAACAUCCCAAUUCCUGUAUAGUACCAGACAGAUUAUUGUCUGCAUGAAUACAAGACCAAUAAUUUGAGUGUUGCACACGCGUAAUGAAUGCCAAUAGCAAGCCACUAUUUAUAGUAUGAACGCAUUGCAGCUAACCUUGAAAUAUCGCCGUUUAUGCCAAUCAAGAGUCUAAUAAUACAAUAGAGUGUUGACAACAGAGGAAAUACAGGAGAUCAUUGUCAACCUUUCUAUUCAUCACUGGUAGUACAAGAGUCCAGGACUCCAGGACCAUGAACAUGAUCCUUCUAAUAAUGAACCCUUCAGAGUUCAGACAUCGUAUAUAUUGCCCUCUUCCUUUUAGCUUUUAUCAUUUUCAGAUUUUUGCCAUAGAUUACUUGCUCCACGCUUUUAAAAAUACGAUUUCUAAAAAUCAAUAUCAUCUACUGCAUUAUUAAUUUACCACUUAUUGUAAGCCAGAUGUAAAGUUUACUUAUAUUUUAUCGUGCUAAUCGAGUAAACAAUUUGCCUCAAUAAUUGAUGCAAAAAUCUUUUUUUUAGAACGCAAAAAUCUGUUUGAAACAGGGAGAAAAGCACGCCAUGCAUUCAGGUGCCAUCUUUGUCAGGGGUCAAUCAUAUAAAGAUACACUAAUAUCUGAAGAUCUAUAUAUUCUGAUAUUACAUCGUUGUAGCUGCAGACUUCAUCACAGAACAAAAAGAAAGAUAAGGCUGCAGUAUUCCGAUCAUGUCCAUUUCACUUUUAUAAUGCUAAAAACACGGCAGAAAUCUUCAGAGCCCAUGAUGAACACCAAUGCAAAAAGUUCAAUUCAUAUGGAAAAUAAAAAAUGGAUGGCUAAGACGCUCCAAGGAUACACUUGGUUGAUGCUAUAUAUCUGAACUGAUGUAUGUGGAAGCUGCAGAAUCCUUGAUUGGAUUAGUCAUCACCUAGCUAGUUUAUAUACUCCUAGACGUCCUAGACUAGAUGGAGUUCAAGUGGAAGAUGGCAACAUCAUCCUUAUUCACUGGCUAUAAAUGAAAGUUGCAUUCA